CUCGGUCACCAGUCUGGAGUGUAGUGGCGUGAUCUCGGCUCACUGCAACCUCCAUCUCCCAGGUUCAAGCAAUUCUCCUGCCUCAGCCUCCUGAGUAGCUGGGACUACAGGUGCAUGCUGCCACCAUGCCCAGCUCAUUUUUGUAUUUUUAGUAGAGAUGGGGUUUCACCAUUUUGGCCAGGAUGGUCUUGAUCUCCUGACCUUGUGAUCCACAUGCCUCGGCCUCCCAAAGUGCUGGGAUUACAGGUGUGAGCCACCGCGCCCGGACGUAAAGAAAGUUUUAUUGAGACACAGCCAUGCCCAUGAAUGCUUUCAUGCUUCAACAGCAGAAUUAAGUAGUUGCCACAAAGACCUGGCCUGCACAGCCUAAAAUAUGUCUUGGCCAAGAAGUCUGAAUCAACCAUGGUCUCCUCCAAAGACGAGGAGUCAGCUGAAAUGUACCAUCUUCAUGGAAGCCUGCUCUGAUCAUUCCAGAUGAGGGGCAUUUGCUGGGAGCACUGUGGAAGCACAGCCUUCUUUCUACGGGGGUUGCUGAGAAAAGCUGCUGGCUGUCGGUGGGGGAAACCUGUCUGAGUAAAUCCCACACAGAAGAAAGCUGAGCCGAGAGAUGGAGAGACACGACGCCUGCAGACAUUGCUUAGAUCCAGCUGGGCGCAAAGCCAGGCCAGCUCAGACUUUUCAAUUACACGAACGAACCGCCUUUUUGUUUUACACUUAUGUCAAUUUGAAUUGGAUUUCCAUCUUGUAACCAAAAGUCUGACUAAUAUAAUCAAAUACCAACUUAAGUAUUGGUAUCUACGAGUUAUAGGUGUUUUCAUUUCCUUGGCCAAGAAACUUUGAGCUCUGAAAUAUCACGGAACGGGGGGUUAGGCCAGGGCACUUAGGGCAAAGUUUUAGCUGGACUAUAGAGAAGGAUGAAGUGGCCUCUCUCACUUCUUUCUUCAUCUCUUUGGUUUAGCUUAGCCACACUGAGUCCACUCCUAAUAGUGGAGGAAGAGGCAAAGGAAGCCUCUUAUGCUAUUGAAUGGGGCCUGGUUGGAACUUGCCCCUGAAUCUGUAGAUGGACCAAAUGCCUACAACAGGGUUUUCAUAUCUAGUCCAUGAGGGCAAAGUGAAUUUCAUACGAGUGGCACAUGGGGCAGUUGUAGCUC
Molecule: long non-coding RNA, 1151 nt
Filed under: Homo sapiens (human)
Lineage: Eukaryota; Metazoa; Chordata; Mammalia; Primates; Hominidae
Description: HSALNT0142953
Source: RNAcentral